RNAcentral lists this small RNA (580 nucleotides) under Pongo abelii (Sumatran orangutan). Its description in RNAcentral is "processed transcript". Lineage: Eukaryota; Metazoa; Chordata; Mammalia; Primates; Hominidae. The record is from RNAcentral.
AGAAACACGAUCCCCAGACCCAGCCUCAGACCCACUGGGUCAGAAGCUCUGGGGCGGGGCCCAGCAAUCUGUUUAAACAAGGCCCCUACUUGCGCCUGUCGCCCGUUCAGGCUUGGGAGCAGCCACUGUGGACAAAGCCUUGUGUACCUCCAACUUUACUGGACCUUCUGAAAGAUGUGAACAGCGUCUAGUGCUCCAGAAAGGAUUUUAUUUAUUCUAGCACAAAUCGACGGAAGUUAUCCCUGAUGUGGGGCUUUGCUAUCCAGACGGCGCCUCAUCUCCCAGAGAUCUUCCUUAGAGACCCUGGAAGAUAUUGAGGAGAACGCACCUCUCCGGAGAGAUACUGCAUCAGCCUUAGACCCCCCAGAGCCAGUCCCACCCUUUACAGAGCAGCCCUUAGCCUGGGGUCAUGGGCCAGGCUGACCUUCGGCAAUUAUUUCUAGAUGAUUUCUGGAUAAGAAUUGCUCUCUCGGUACCAGACAGUUUGACAUCCUCCACCCUUAGAAAAUGACAUUGUUUUGUUACUGCUCCUACCCACCAAGGGGAUAAAGAAGGCGAGUUCUGAGUGUUGGAUGAGUCA